CCUUCGGGGGGCAGCAGUAGGGAAUUUUGCGCAAUGGGGGAAACCCUGACGCAGCAACGCCGCGUGAUCGAUGAAGCCCUUCGGGGCGUAAAGAUCUGUCAGCGGGGACGAAACCUGACGGUACUCACAGAGGAAGCACCGGCUAACUCCGUGCCAGCAGCCGCGGUAAUACGGGGGGUGCAAGCGUUGUCCGGAAUCAUUGGGCGUAAGGAGUCCGUAGGUGGCACGGUAAGCCUGGUGUGAAAGGCGGAGGCUCAACUUCCGUAGGGCACUGGAUACUGGAGGGCUUGAGUGCGGUAGAGGUAAGGGGAAUUCCUGGUGUAGCGGUGAAAUGCGUAGAGAUCAGGAGGAACAUCGGUGGCGAAGGCGCUUUGCUGGGCCGUGAUUGACGCUGAGGAACGAAGGCCGGGGUAGCAAAUAGGAUUAGAUACCCCAGUAGUC
This 441-nucleotide ribosomal RNA is filed under the name uncultured bacterium. RNAcentral's name for it is "partial 16S ribosomal RNA". It matches the Rfam family "Bacterial small subunit ribosomal RNA", at positions 338 to 795 of the family's 1533-position model. The record is from RNAcentral.